RNAcentral lists this unclassified non-coding RNA (221 nucleotides) under Cystofilobasidium macerans. RNAcentral's name for it is "partial internal transcribed spacer region". The stretch from base 1 to 46 matches the Rfam family "Eukaryotic small subunit ribosomal RNA", at positions 1786 to 1831 of the family's 1831-position model. The record is from RNAcentral. Lineage: Eukaryota; Fungi; Basidiomycota; Tremellomycetes; Cystofilobasidiales; Cystofilobasidiaceae.
AAGUCGUAACAAGGUUUCCGUAGGUGAACCUGCGGAAGGAUCACUAAAGUAAACGCCCUCCGGGGCUCUCUUUAUUCACACACCCCUGUGCACUUUGGCCACCUGCCGCGCUUGACUGCGUUAGUAGGUGUGUCUCUUUAUUUACACCCAUAUACACAAGUCAUUGAAUGUAAAAUCGUUAUAAACUAAUAUAACUUUCAACAACGGAUCUCUUGGUUCUC